Molecule: long non-coding RNA, 1846 nt
Filed under: Gossypium barbadense (sea-island cotton)
Lineage: Eukaryota; Viridiplantae; Streptophyta; Magnoliopsida; Malvales; Malvaceae
Description: long non-coding RNA (GBAR_LNC021022)
Source: RNAcentral
UAAAAUAUGUCAUAUUAGUUCCAUUUCAUACUUAUAACCAAUUUAAACAUCAUUCUAUAACCAUAAUCACAAAACUCUUAUACUUAACCUAUACAUCUCCUAGGUACAUGCCACAUAAUCAAAACAAAGGUACAUCACUAAAAUUUCUCUAAGGUCGGGAUUGCCCUGGAUGCUGGUCCGAACACUGGCUUUCUACUAACCUGCUCACGGAAACAACCGUACGCUGAGUAUGGGUAUACUCAGUGGUAUUACCCUAAUUCAAAUUUAUAACAUUAAUCGAUAAACUAUAUACAUUCAAUUUAUGCCUACAAUUAUUCAUUAAUUGUCUCAUACUUUAAAUCAACUUGAUCAUUAAUAACAAUAAGCAAUAUUUCAAAUCUUGUAUUCGAUUGUAUUCAUACCUUAUUCAAUUUAUGAAUAUAUAACUCGUGUAUUCCAUGUAUUUACAACAUAUUUCACAUUCUAUUUUCAGUUUACUAUCUCGUAUUCUUAGCCCAAAGUAGGUCUUAUAGAACACACUGGAUAUACGGAACAAAUACAGAGGUGCAUUAUUAUGCACCAAUGAACAGAGAGCACUAAAGUGCUAUACAUAGAGCACAAAUAUGCUAAUCAGAGAGCACCAACGUGCUAAUAAUCAGAGAGCGCACUAAAGUUCCUUAAUGGCAUGCCACUAAUAUCCCAGUAAUUCUAAAUUUCAUCUACUUGGGCAUUAAAACUGAAUUUUAUACAUAUAAAAAAUAAUCCAAUUAUCAUAUUUGCACAAUUUUAUAUUUACACAUAUAUAUUCAUAAUAUAUAUAUUCCAAUUCAAUUCAACCAAUAUAAUUUCAUUCAAUUCACAAUUUCUCAUGUUCACAAUUCAAAUCAAUUUCUCAAUCCAAUAUGCAUUUCAAUACCACAUUAAUUCUUUUAAUUCAAAUCAUAUCACUAGUAAUUUCCAUUCAAUUCACAUACAAUUCAAUAUCAUUGAAUUCAAUAUCGAUAUUCACUUUAUUUUUAUUUACUAAACAUAUUAUUCAAAAUUCAACAAUUGCUAUUAAUAAAUUCAAUACCAAUACGUAUUUAUCAUUCAAUUCAAUCAUGAUACUUACCUCAAUUUGCUUAUUGUGUAUAUUAAUUUAAAUUUUAACAAUUAAUAAUUAAAUUCGAAUUAUGGUAAUACUAACUGAAAUUUCUCUCGAGUCACUCCUUGUCCAGCUUCUCCUUUCCUUUCUUGGUCAAUGACUCUUGCACGACAUUAGCUACAUAAUUAAACAAUUAAAAAUCAUUAAUACACAAUUUCAUCUAAACAUUUCCAUUUAUACCUAAACUUUACCUAAAUUCUAAUUUAAUCCCUUAUCAAUACUAAUUUUAUUUUUCCUAAUCUAACUCCAUAUUCUCUCUUAAUUCCUACUAUAACCUCAUUUUAACUCUUCAAUUUCACCAUAAAUCCCUAAUUUUGAGAUUCUUUCAAUUUAGUCCCUACUAUUCAAAACUUACACUUUAUUUUACAAUUAAAUCAUUUACUAACUUCUAACUUGAAAUUAAAUCAAUUUAACCACUAAUUCGUCAUCUUUCCCAACAUGAACCAUGUCUAAAAAAAAUCUAAUAUCUUACAAAAUUUCAACAUAAAUCCAAUAAUACUUUAAUCUAGGAUUCCAAAAACAUCAAAACUAAAAGAAAAUGGGCUAAAUUAACUUACCAAUUAAACUUCAAGCUUCAAAUCCCAAGUUUUCCCUUUUAUUUUUCUUUCCUAUUCUUUCUUCCCCUGUUCGAAUGGCUUCUGUUGUUCUGUUUGUUUCUUUUACUUCUUUUCUUUCUUUUUAUUUACUUAAUAAUUAAUAUAAUAUCAAUAUAAAAGAUCUUAU